This 253-nucleotide ribosomal RNA is filed under the name uncultured bacterium. RNAcentral's name for it is "partial 16S ribosomal RNA". It matches the Rfam family "Bacterial small subunit ribosomal RNA", at positions 524 to 776 of the family's 1533-position model. The record is from RNAcentral.
UACGGGGGGGGCAAGCGUUGUUCGGAAUUACUGGGCGUAAAGGGCUCGUAGGCGGCCAACUAAGUCAGACGUGAAAUCCCUCGGCUUAACCGGGGAACUGCAUCCGAUACUGGCAGACUUGAGGACGGUAGAGGUCGGUGGAAUACCAGGUGUACCGGUGAAAUGGGCGGAUAUCUGGUGGAACACCAGUGGCGAAGGCGGCCGACUGGGCCGAUCCUGACGCUGAGACGCGAAAGCCAGGGUAGCGAACCGG